GGUUAAGCGACUAAGCGUACACGGUGGAUGCCCUGGCAGUCAGAGGCGAUGAAGGACGUGCUAAUCUGCGAUAAGCGUCGGUAAGGUGAUAUGAACCGUUAUAACCGGCGAUUUCCGAAUGGGGAAACCCAGUGUGUUUCGACACACUAUCAUUAACUGAAUCCAUAGGUUAAUGAGGCGAACCGGGGGAACUGAAACAUCUAAGUACCCCGAGGAAAAGAAAUCAACCGAGAUUCCCCCAGUAGCGGCGAGCGAACGGGGAGCAGCCCAGAGCCUGAAUCAGUGUGUGUGUUAGUGGAAGCGUCUGGAAAGGCGCGCGAUACAGGGUGACAGCCCCGUACACAAAAAUGCACAUGCUGUGAGCUCGAUGAGUAGGGCGGGACACGUGGUAUCCUGUCUGAAUAUGGGGGGACCAUCCUCCAAGGCUAAAUACUCCUGACUGACCGAUAGUGAACCAGUACCGUGAGGGAAAGGCGAAAAGAACCCCGGCGAGGGGAGUGAAAAAGAACCUGAAACCGUGUACGUACAAGCAGUGGGAGCACGCUUAGGCGUGUGACUGCGUACCUUUUGUAUAAUGGGUCAGCGACUUAUAUUCUGUAGCAAGGUUAACCGAAUAGGGGAGCCGAAGGGAAACCGAGUCUUAACUGGGCGUUAAGUUGCAGGGUAUAGACCCGAAACCCGGUGAUCUAGCCAUGGGCAGGUUGAAGGUUGGGUAACACUAACUGGAGGACCGAACCGACUAAUGUUGAAAAAUUAGCGGAUGACUUGUGGCUGGGGGUGAAAGGCCAAUCAAACCGGGAGAUAGCUGGUUCUCCCCGAAAGCUAUUUAGGUAGCGCCUCGUGAAUUCAUCUCCGGGGGUAGAGCACUGUUUCGGCAAGGGGGUCAUCCCGACUUACCAACCCGAUGCAAACUGCGAAUACCGGAGAAUGUUAUCACGGGAGACACACGGCGGGUGCUAACGUCCGUCGUGAAGAGGGAAACAACCCAGACCGCCAGCUAAGGUCCCAAAGUCAUGGUUAAGUGGGAAACGAUGUGGGAAGGCCCAGACAGCCAGGAUGUUGGCUUAGAAGCAGCCAUCAUUUAAAGAAAGCGUAAUAGCUCACUGGUCGAGUCGGCCUGCGCGGAAGAUGUAACGGGGCUAAACCAUGCACCGAAGCUGCGGCAGCGACGCUUAUGCGUUGUUGGGUAGGGGAGCGUUCUGUAAGCCUGUGAAGGUGUGCUGUGAGGCAUGCUGGAGGUAUCAGAAGUGCGAAUGCUGACAUAAGUAACGAUAAAGCGGGUGAAAAGCCCGCUCGCCGGAAGACCAAGGGUUCCUGUCCAACGUUAAUCGGGGCAGGGUGAGUCGACCCCUAAGGCGAGGCCGAAAGGCGUAGUCGAUGGGAAACAGGUUAAUAUUCCUGUACUUGGUGUUACUGCGAAGGGGGGACGGAGAAGGCUAUGUUGGCCGGGCGACGGUUGUCCCGGUUUAAGCGUGUAGGCUGGUUUUCCAGGCAAAUCCGGAAAAUCAAGGCUGAGGCGUGAUGACGAGGCACUACGGUGCUGAAGCAACAAAUGCCCUGCUUCCAGGAAAAGCCUCUAAGCAUCAGGUAACAUCAAAUCGUACCCCAAACCGACACAGGUGGUCAGGUAGAGAAUACCAAGGCGCUUGAGAGAACUCGGGUGAAGGAACUAGGCAAAAUGGUGCCGUAACUUCGGGAGAAGGCACGCUGAUAUGUAGGUGNNNNNNNNNNNNNNNNNNNNNNNNNNNNNNNNNNNNNNNNNNNNNNNNNNNNNNNNNNNNNNNNNNNNNNNNNNNNNNNNNNNNNNNNNNNNNNGCGAAGCUCUUGAUCGAAGCCCCGGUAAACGGCGGCCGUAACUAUAACGGUCCUAAGGUAGCGAAAUUCCUUGUCGGGUAAGUUCCGACCUGCACGAAUGGCGUAAUGAUGGCCAGGCUGUCUCCACCCGAGACUCAGUGAAAUUGAACUCGCUGUGAAGAUGCAGUGUACCCGCGGCAAGACGGAAAGACCCCGUGAACCUUUACUAUAGCUUGACACUGAACAUUGAGCCUUGAUGUGUAGGAUAGGUGGGAGGCUUAGAAGUGUGGACGCCAGUCUGCAUGGAGCCGACCUUGAAAUACCACCCUUUAAUGUUUGAUGUUCUAACGUUGACCCGUAAUCCGGGUUGCGGACAGUGUCUGGUGGGUAGUUUGACUGGGGCGGUCUCCUCCUAAAGAGUAACGGAGGAGCACGAAGGUUGGCUAAUCCUGGUCGGACAUCAGGAGGUUAGUGCAAUGGCAUAAGCCAGCUUGACUGCGAGCGUGACGGCGCGAGCAGGUGCGAAAGCAGGUCAUAGUGAUCCGGUGGUUCUGAAUGGAAGGGCCAUCGCUCAACGGAUAAAAGGUACUCCGGGGAUAACAGGCUGAUACCGCCCAAGAGUUCAUAUCGACGGCGGUGUUUGGCACCUCGAUGUCGGCUCAUCACAUCCUGGGGCUGAAGUAGGUCCCAAGGGUAUGGCUGUUCGCCAUUUAAAGUGGUACGCGAGCUGGGUUUAGAACGUCGUGAGACAGUUCGGUCCCUAUCUGCCGUGGGCGCUGGAGAACUGAGGGGGGCUGCUCCUAGUACGAGAGGACCGGAGUGGACGCAUCACUGGUGUUCGGGUUGUCAUGCCAAUGGCACUGCCCGGUAGCUAAAUGCGGAAGAGAUAAGUGCUGAAAGCAUCUAAGCACGAAACUUGCCCCGAGAUGAGUUCUCCCUGACUCCUUGAGAGUCCUGAAGGAACGUUGAAGACGACGACGUUGAUAGGCCGGGUGUGUAAGCGCAGCGAUGCGUUGAGCUAACCGGUACUAAUGAACCGUGAGGCUUAACCUU
RNAcentral lists this ribosomal RNA (2847 nucleotides) under Escherichia coli. RNAcentral's name for it is "23S ribosomal RNA". It matches the Rfam family "Bacterial large subunit ribosomal RNA". Lineage: Bacteria; Pseudomonadati; Pseudomonadota; Gammaproteobacteria; Enterobacterales; Enterobacteriaceae. The record is from RNAcentral.